This 64-nucleotide transfer RNA is filed under the name Pachydactylus montanus (Montane thick-toed gecko). RNAcentral's name for it is "tRNA-Trp". The record is from RNAcentral. Lineage: Eukaryota; Metazoa; Chordata; Lepidosauria; Squamata; Gekkonidae.
AAGUUUAGGUUAACAAAACCCAGGACCUUCAAAGUCCUAAAUAGGGAUUAUGCCCUAACUUCUG